GACGAACGCUGGCGGCGUGCUUAACACAUGCAAGUCGAACGGAAAGGCCCUGCUUUUGUGGGGUGCUCGAGUGGCGAACGGGUGAGUAACACGUGAGUAACCUGCCCUUGACUUUGGGAUAACUUCAGGAAACUGGGGCUAAUACCGGAUAGGAGCUCCUGCUGCGUGGUGGGGGGUGGAACGUCUCGGCGGUCGGGGAUGGACUGGCGGCUUAUCAGCUUGUUGGUGGGGUAGUGGCUGACCAAGGGUUUGACGGGUAGCCGGCCUGAGAGGGUGACCGGUCACAUUGGGACUGAGAUACGGCCCAGACUCCUACGGGAGGCAGCAGUGGGGAGUAUUGCACAAUGGGCGGGAGCCUGAUGCAGCAACGCCGCGUGCGGGAUGACGGCCUUCGGGUUGUAAACCGCUUUCGCCUGUGACGAAGCGUGAGUGACGGUAAUGGGUAAAGAAGCACCGGCUAACUACGUG
This 468-nucleotide ribosomal RNA is filed under the name uncultured bacterium. RNAcentral's name for it is "partial 16S ribosomal RNA". It matches the Rfam family "Bacterial small subunit ribosomal RNA", at positions 28 to 507 of the family's 1533-position model. The record is from RNAcentral.